RNAcentral lists this ribosomal RNA (1022 nucleotides) under Staphylococcus sp. RNAcentral describes it as "bacterial SSU rRNA". It matches the Rfam family "Bacterial small subunit ribosomal RNA", at positions 36 to 1037 of the family's 1533-position model. The record is from RNAcentral. Lineage: Bacteria; Bacillati; Bacillota; Bacilli; Caryophanales; Staphylococcaceae.
CUGGCGGGGUGCCUAAUACAUGCAAGUCGAGCGAACAGAUAAGGAGCUUGCUCCUUUGACGUUAGCGGCGGACGGGUGAGUAACACGUGGGUAACCUACCUAUAAGACUGGAAUAACUCCGGGAAACCGGGGCUAAUGCCGGAUAACAUUUAGAACCGCAUGGUUCUAAAGUGAAAGAUGGUUUUGCUAUCACUUAUAGAUGGACCCGCGCCGUAUUAGCUAGUUGGUAAGGUAACGGCUUACCAAGGCAACGAUACGUAGCCGACCUGAGAGGGUGAUCGGCCACACUGGAACUGAGACACGGUCCAGACUCCUACGGGAGGCAGCAGUAGGGAAUCUUCCGCAAUGGGCGAAAGCCUGACGGAGCAACGCCGCGUGAGUGAUGAAGGUCUUCGGAUCGUAAAACUCUGUUAUUAGGGAAGAACAAAUGUGUAAGUAACUGUGCACGUCUUGACGGUACCUAAUCAGAAAGCCACGGCUAACUACGUGCCAGCAGCCGCGGUAAUACGUAGGUGGCAAGCGUUAUCCGGAAUUAUUGGGCGUAAAGCGCGCGUAGGCGGUUUCUUAAGUCUGAUGUGAAAGCCCACGGCUCAACCGUGGAGGGUCAUUGGAAACUGGGAAACUUGAGUGCAGAAGAGGAAAGUGGAAUUCCAUGUGUAGCGGUGAAAUGCGCAGAGAUAUGGAGGAACACCAGUGGCGAAGGCGACUUUCUGGUCUGUAACUGACGCUGAUGUGCGAAAGCGUGGGGAUCAAACAGGAUUAGAUACCCUGGUAGUCCACGCCGUAAACGAUGAGUGCUAAGUGUUAGGGGGUUUCCGCCCCUUAGUGCUGCAGCUAACGCAUUAAGCACUCCGCCUGGGGAGUACGACCGCAAGGUUGAAACUCAAAGGAAUUGACGGGGACCCGCACAAGCGGUGGAACAUGUGGUUUAAUUCGAAGCAACGCGAAGAACCUUACCAAUUCUUGACAUCCUUUGACAACUCUAAAGAUAGAGCCUUCCCCUUCGGGGGACAAAGUGACAG